This 405-nucleotide long non-coding RNA is filed under the name Ictidomys tridecemlineatus (thirteen-lined ground squirrel). RNAcentral describes it as "lncRNA (ENSSTOG00000033887.1)". Lineage: Eukaryota; Metazoa; Chordata; Mammalia; Rodentia; Sciuridae. The record is from RNAcentral.
UCUCAGUUCUCAUUCCAGCUCCCUCAACUUGAGGGCAUAAGACAGCCCAAGAGAAGUACCACCAGUUAAGUUCCCACCACAAAAUAGGCAAAAAUUGACAGAACAGAGGAGCCACAGAACGAAGGACUCAGGAGGGAGAUCAUCUGAGCCUAUUUGGGAAGACAUAGUUCUGAGAGGGAAUGAAAAGAGGGGGGGAAAAAUCGGCAUCAACCUGGAUGGAGGGCUGAGGAGGAGGAGUGGUGAUGGGAGGUGCCAAGCUUGAAGAUGAGGAAACUGAGGAGAAGAAAAGGCCAGCCACCAGCCAGGUUCCAGGUUUGCCUGCCUGCCACUGAAAUCUGUCCUCAGAGGGACCUCCUUUGUCCUACAAAGGCCAGCUCCAAUUCAGGAUUGGGAUGGAAGGUAUUU